CCGAGUUGUAAUUUGCAGAGGAUGCUUUGGGCGCGGUGCCUUCCGAGUUCCCUGGAACGGGACGCCUUAGAGGGUGAGAGCCCCGUACGGUUGGACACCAAGCCUCUGUAAAGCUCCUUCGACGAGUCGAGUAGUUUGGGAAUGCUGCUCUAAAUGGGAGGUAAAUUUCUUCUAAAGCUAAAUAUUGGCCAGAGACCGAUAGCGCACAAGUAGAGUGAUCGAAAGAUGAAAAGCACUUUGAAAAGAGGGUUAAAUAGCACGUGAAAUUGUUGAAAGGGAAGCGUUUACGACCAGACCUUUUCGCAGCGGAUCAUCCGGUGUUCUCACCGGUGCACUUCGCUGGGUUGAGGCCAGCAUCGGUUUCCGCAGGGGGAUAA
RNAcentral lists this ribosomal RNA (377 nucleotides) under Sordariomycetes sp. 1829 RO-2014. RNAcentral describes it as "LSU rRNA". It matches the Rfam family "Eukaryotic large subunit ribosomal RNA", at positions 138 to 522 of the family's 3401-position model. Lineage: Eukaryota; Fungi; Ascomycota; Sordariomycetes. RNAcentral also lists the same sequence under 1 other name. The record is from RNAcentral.